AGAGUGAACGCUGGCGGUAGGCCUAACACAUGCAAGUCGAACGGCAGCACAGUGGUAGCAAUACCAUGGGUGGCGAGUGGCGGACGGGUGAGGAAUACAUCGGAAUCUACCUUUUCGUGGGGGAUAACGUAGGGAAACUUACGCUAAUACCGCAUACGCCCUUCGGGGGAAAGCCGGGGAUCGCAAGACCUGGCGCGGAUAGAUGAGCCGAUGUCGGAUUAGCUAGUUGGUGAGGUAAUGGCUCACCAAGGCGACGAUCCGUAGCUGGUCUGAGAGGAUGAUCAGCCACACUGGAACUGAGACACGGUCCAGACCUCCUACGGGAGCAGCAGGUGGGGAAUA
RNAcentral lists this ribosomal RNA (342 nucleotides) under uncultured soil bacterium. Its description in RNAcentral is "bacterial SSU rRNA". It matches the Rfam family "Bacterial small subunit ribosomal RNA", at positions 26 to 363 of the family's 1533-position model. The record is from RNAcentral.